Long non-coding RNA from Pseudoliparis swirei, 189 nucleotides. RefSeq lists it as uncharacterized. NCBI's taxonomy places the organism in Eukaryota, Metazoa, Chordata, Actinopteri, Perciformes, Liparidae. The record is from RefSeq and is a predicted model, not a curated record. The transcript is spliced from 3 exons.
GUUUUCUCCUACACAAUUAUGUAAAAUGUGGUCCUGUUUCUUUGUUAGCAGUCAAGCUCUGUUUUUGGUCUCCACACUCCGUCUGCUGUUUGGUGCUGAGCAGGUAGCAUAACGGUACAGGGAUUUCAAAGAGCCAGGCAGGUUGCUGUGGUUACAAAAAGGACGUCUGGGCCCGUAGCUUUGCACAGG